RNAcentral lists this ribosomal RNA (901 nucleotides) under uncultured archaeon. RNAcentral describes it as "bacterial SSU rRNA". It matches the Rfam family "Archaeal small subunit ribosomal RNA", at positions 1 to 909 of the family's 1478-position model. The record is from RNAcentral.
UUCUGGUUGAUCCUGCCGGACCUGACUGCUAUCGGAUUGAUACUAAGCCAUGCGAGUCAUUGUAGUAAUACAAGGCAUACGGCUCAGUAACGCGUAGUCAACCUAACCUAUGGACGGGAAUAACCUCGGGAAACUGAGUAUAAUUCCCGAUAGAACAUUAUGCCUGGAAUGGUUUAUGUUCCAAAUGAUUUAUCGCCGUAGGAUGGGACUGCGGCCUAUCAGUUUGUUGGUGAGGUAAUGGCCCACCAAGACUAUUACAGGUACGGGCUCUGAGAGGAGUAGCCCGGAGAUGGGUACUGAGACACGGACCCAGGCCCUAUGGGGCGCAGCAGGCGAGAAAACUUUGCAAUGUGCGAAAGCACGACAAGGUUAAUCCGAGUGGUUUCUGCUAAAGGAACCUUUUGUUAGUCCUAGAAACACUAACGAAUAAGGGGUGGGCAAGUUCUGGUGUCAGCCGCCGCGGUAAAACCAGCACCUCAAGUGGUCAGGAUGAUUAUUGGGCCUAAAGCAUCCGUAGCCGGCUCUGUAAGUUUUCGGUUAAGUCUGUACGCUCAACGUACAGGCUGCCGGGAAUACUGCAGAGCUAGGGAGUGGGAGAGGUAGACGGUACUCGGGAGGAAGGGGUAAAAUCCUUUGAUCUCUCGAUGACCACCUGUGGCGAAGGCGGUCUACCAGAACACGUCCGACGGUGAGGGAUGAAAGCUGGGGGAGCAAACCGGAUUAGAUACCCGGGUAGUCCCAGCUGUAAACUAUGCAAACUCAGUGAUGCAUUGACUUGUGGUCAAUGCAGUGCUGCAGGGAAGCCGUUAAGUUUGCCGCCUGGGAAGUACGUACGCAAGUAUGAAACUUAAAGGAAUUGGCGGGGGAGCACCACAAGGGGUGAAGCCUGCGGUUCAAUUGG